CAAAAUGGAGGAUUCCCCACCCUCAGGUGGGUGUCCCAGUUUCCUGGCUGUGGAGGCUCAUUUUUUUCCCAUGUGUGUUCAUGGAUGUCCUGCAUCCACACCAGUAAUUUGCUGGUCAGUAGUGAAGUUACAGUGGCUUUGACAAUUGAGCCCUCUAGGCUGAGGCACCCAGGAUGCUUUCCUGUGGAAGGAAGACUUACAGCUCUUUAGGAAAAGAGUCAAUGACUUCUGAUUGUCCCACCUUCAGGGUAAAACCCAUGUCAACUCCAGCUGCGCUGAAAAAGACAAUGGUGUUAUUAUUUUUUUAUAUCAUCCUGACCCCAUGAGUGGAGUGGAAGUGCACUGACAUAUACAUGUUAGACUCAGCCCCUUCGGUAGGAACACCUGGUUUCUAUGUUUUAAGACUGAGACUUGGGCCUGAAUGAGGUGUCUAAUCAGCUAGACUGAGAACAUUUAAUGUUAUUUGGGAGUGCAACAUCCAACACAGUCCUGUAAAGGUUCAGGUGCCUUCAUGGACAAACAAGGGCUGAGUGUUUUGACAAUGAUGUCUGGUGUACCAGUGGGAGAUGUAGCAUAUUGUGGCAAAGGACCAUCAAGAUUCUUAAGUUAAAACAUGCAUGUGGUGUGAAACAUAAUUUUUCAAAGUGCCUUUUAGGGCUUUUCAUUCAUCUUUCCAGAAUUCUGGAUUAAUACCAUCAAACUAAAAACAAAAACAAAACCAACCAACCAAACACAACAAAAAAACCCCAACACCCUAAAAGUGGUACCUGGGACCUUCUAUCCCUCUAUCCUUCUUGGGACCCUUUGUCUUGGGGUCUUCUACCCCUCUGAUGGAGCACCAGCAGAAGGGAGCAUUCUCAGAGGGCAGAGGAAGCUCUGGGUGACAGACAGGGGGAUGCUGUCCAUAAUCUCUUUUUCAUGGUUCCACUGUCCUAAAGUCUCACCUGCUGAGCUGGAACAGGGGAGUUAUUUUGGUGGAAUGGAAACUUUGGUGUUAGUUGGGGGAAUUCCCCUCACAGGUCAGGGAGUCCCUUCUUGGUCAGGUGUUAUAAGGCGACUUGGGAUCAAAAGUGUGCUCUGCUGCCAUCUUUCUCCUCCAGCUGAACUAUGUCUGUUGAGAAAGGGGUCUUUAUGGUAUGUAGAUUUGGCCUAGAGCUUAACAGGUGACACUAGCAAUCAGGAUACACAAGAUACUUCUGAGCUUGCUGUUGUGUUGCAUAUGCCAAGAAGGCUAGUACUUCACCCCAAAGGGAUGACAGGGCUCAAUUCCUGUAUGUCAUCUUGAGGCUUUCUAAUUCAAAGAAAACCAGUAAAUACUGCUUUUGCAGAGCAGUCCUGGGAAAUAGUUUGUGCUUGUGCCUUGUUCACCUCUUUCCACAUAACACAGGCUUCUUGUGAAACACAUCAGAAGAUGCACAGCUGAAAGUUCUGCAUGAUAUUGACAGAUUUAAACUGUGUGGCAGGUAAUGCCAUCCAAGUGUUUCUCAUGUCUCUGAUCUGUAUCCUGUAACCAUUGCUACCUUGUGAGUCCCCCCUCUGCCUUCCCCCUGCAGCCCCUUCCAGGUGCCUGUAAGACAAUAUGUGACUGACCAACCACUCAGAAGGCAGGGGGCUUCCAUCUGUCUGACCAUGCAGGACAUAUUUUCACUUGGCAUUGGUGGAUCAAAAUGGUAAACUUUUGGUUACAGGAGCCUGAUGUGUUUGUUUUUCAGGCCUUAAACACAAGCAUACCUCUGCAGGUAGGAGAGCAGGCAGAGCUCCAAGGUUGGUUGCCCGUAGCUACUAAUAGAGAAGUCCUGAUAAAGAACUUGCUUGCUGUUGCAGCUGCAGUUAGCAAUCAGCUGGACUUAAUUUGUGAGAGGCUGAAGGGAGCUGAGAGAUGCAGCAGCUGAGAGGGGUCUUGUUUGUACAGCACAUAUGGUGUCCCAGCACGUGCCCCCUUCAUUACCAUUCCUCAGAGUUGGCUUCUCUUGCAGUAUUCUUUGACAAAGGGCUUUGACUUGUAGGGCUGCACUUGAAAAUUGUUUCAGUGGUCAAAUAGAUGACACCUUUUUGUACCGACUGUUUAUGUUAUCAGAGUUUUCAUCCUUGAAAAUGAGAAUAAAAUAGGUUGUGUAUAUUAAAAAAUGUCAUGUAACAUACCAGCUGUCCGCAGAGGCAAUGCAUGUAUGCCUAUGUCUAUUUAAUAACUGUAAAGCUGGAAUUUGCACAAACUGUUGCUUUUCUGUUGUUCUCCAAGUCAUUUUAUAUUGGAAUUUUGGUAAACCCACAGCUAAAGUUUAGGCCACAGGUUAUAAAACGGGUCAAGUUGUCUGUGUGGCAGUUUGUAGCUGUAUGCUACUAGAUUUCUAUUGCUGGCUUAGGGUAGCACAGCAAAAAAAACAGACCCAUCUGUGCUUAUGUUGUAUGCUAAGCAAACGCUGUUUCAUGGAAAAUUUUUAUUGAACUAUAGAUAUCUUCUCUGUGGUCGUUGUUCCUCCUGCCACAACCUGUCCACACCAACUCCCCAGCUCCACAAGCAACUUUAGGUGGCAUGGCAUUGCUCGAGCUGCCAGCAGUACUCUGAAGAAGUGUCCUGUGCAGAGCAUUUGUAUCUCUCCCCUGUUAGGUAGAGGGUCUGUUUAAACAACAUGAAUGCUGUAUGGGACACAGUGUUUGGUAUUUUUAGGAGAUAUCAGUGGCUUUAAUAUCUGGAAUGGCAUAAUUAAUGUUAAAAAUUAACUAUACCUAAAUUUAGCACUAAUAUUUUCAAAGUAAAUUUAGAAGAACUGACACAAGCACUCUUUGGGUGAGCAGUAACUGUGUGCAUAACUCAAGUGGUGAUUACGGAAAGGAAUUAUGUGUAAUUCUGUGAAACACAUAUGAAAACCACAUAAACACGCCACAUUUAUAUAUGUUUAAUAUGUCUCUGUUAAUAUGUAAUCUAUGUAGGCACAUAUAUGCCUGUAUGCUCAUCAUAUCCUCAUGCAUGAAGAGUAUUUUAAAUGUUUGGGUUUUUUUAAUGAAAAGAAGGCAGCCUCUGUAUCUGACUUUUCAAUUAUCUCAUUAGGACCAGGAAGUGAAUUUGGGCAUCAUGUGUGACUUGUCUGGUGUAAUUGCUGAGCCUAGCAUCUUCCAUUAACACCAAGGCUGGCAGCACAGGAGUCAUUCCAGUUUUGCAGAGCAGCUCUGCCAGUGUGGCACAGCCCUGCCUCUGGGGCUGAAAGAACAGUUUCGUUCCCAUCAUUAUCCUUUUGGGCUUGUUGGCUCGAGAAGGGUGCCCAGCAGUGAUGCUUUUUGAUCAGGAGCUGAUUUACCUAAUCUGGCUGGAUUGGGACAUCAGAGUGUCUCAUAUGGUCAGUGCACAGGUCCUUGUUCAGAAACCCUGUGAGUGUGAGUUGCUGAAUUCCAGCUCUCGGGCUUCACUUAGACUGACAUUUCUCAGGGAUAUCCAUCUUCUGACCUGGGCAAAUCCUUCAGCAUUUCACAUUUGUAACUACAUCAGUCUAUCCAUUACAGCCUCAGCAAAACCCCUGUGCGUAACCUGGAAGCUGGACUGUCAUUUUCAGAGAAAGCAUGCUUUUGUCCUCUGUAAAUAUGUAAAACAAAAUUUCUGAGCUGUUACCAGCCUCCUUUUUCAGUCAUCACGCACACAAUCUCACAAAGAAUGAAGCCAUACUCCUGCUCUUUAUCCUCCUGCUCGGAAGGAAGGAAGACCAGGAAGUUGUAAAGAACUGGUGAAGAACACAGGAUAAAAAUCCCUACCUUUGCCUUGAAUCAGUGGCAUAACUAAUCUGGCUUGAAUUCACAUCUUCUUGCCUGUCCCUUAAAAAAGAAGCUGGGUGUAGUAGUGGUGGUACUUUCUGAAAGUAGAGUCUGUGCUUCCUAAAAAUAAACUUAAUUUAUCAACACUAUGGAGUAACAGCAUGUAAUGUUCUCCAUCUCCAGUGGAAUUCAGAGCUCCUUGUCACUGGUAAGGAUGAAGUUGUGAAACCCAAGUAGAUAUUUUUAGCAGAUUUCAAGAAAAUAGCUUCUUGUAAUAGUACAUGUUGCCCUAUCUGGUGUGGCAGAUCCUGUCUUUGUCCUCUGUUUGAAGGACAGAAUGCAGGAAAUAAACUGGUUAGUUUGUUUAUGGCUCUGUCAAAUGACAAAGGUUGAAUGGAAAUCCAAAUGCACUGAAGUAGUAUUAAUUGUAGAUGCACAAUACUCUGGCUUAUAUUAGCAUUCAAAAUUAUUCUUCUUCUGAAAGGGCUAACAGGGGAAAAUCUGCAUUAUGCAAAAACUUACACAAGAUUUGACUUUAUGUGACUUGAAAAACUGUGGAAAUAGAGUUAACUACACACAUAAAACUUCGUAGGACUGGAAAUUUAUUCUGCUUUAUUUUAUUCCUCAAAAUUAAAAGGCAUCUUCAGAUCUGAAAGUUAAUUUAUAUGACUUCUGAUGGGACAGAGUGGAUAGAGUUAAGAUUGGAGGAUAGGUCUUAGGUUUGUGUCACAUGAUUUCUUUCAGCCCCUCCUUUUGUCUUUCUCAACCGUAGCAUUGUUCAUAGCAGUCAAGCAGAAUUUAUCAGUGAUUAUGCACUUUAGUUCCUUUAACAAACAGAUUUUUUUUUUAUUAUUAUUUGUUUUGUUUGUUUGUUUUAGCUGACAAGGUUGUAUAACUUCUGGACCCAGUUUAUGUGGCACAGUGCAGCACAAAUGACCCAUGCAAAGUUCUGUGCUGCAGUGCUGGUACCUGCAGCAACUUGCUUAAAGCGUGUUAAAGCAGUCAGAGAUGCAAACUGUCCUCAUUUGGUUUCCCAGAAUGGAAUAUUUUGCAGUGGCUUUGAUAUUGAAACUUGUUUCAUCAGUGUCUUACUGAUAGGUCCUUAGCAAGGCAUUUGGUGUUGAGGAUGGCUAGCAUGGGGUACUUUCCCCCAGCUCAACCUCACUCUGCACUGACCCAAAAUGUCAUGGAGUGGAGGGCAGAGCCAUGCAUCAGCUGACCCUGUGUGAUACCUGGAAGUCUUUUCUGAAGCCAAACCUAGGCUACUUUUCAGUUUUGAAGGACAUUUCACCCUAGCACCACAAGCAUCUUGGUAGAAGUGGAGUCCAUGAAUGUAGCUGUUUCUUGGCGUCAUUAGUGUUAACUGAGAUUAACUUGAAGGUGGUGGAACUGCUGAUUCUGCCUUGGGCUGUCUUCCAGAGCAGACAGAACUGGUUCCUGAAUGCUGUCUGUCUCUGUGGCUGAGGCAAUAGAGCAGGCAGAUUGUUGGGUUACCAGUAUGCUCGAAACCUGUACUUCAAAGCUGAUGUACUGGCAACAGUUUCAAACUGAAGUCUGGUCAUCCAUGAGCUCUCUGAUAAUCAGGGCUGCUUUGAUUGCUCUUGGGACAGAGAGCAAAAAUUUGGUUUUUUAUCAUUAGCACCAACUCUAUAGUUCGAAAAAAGUCAAUAUUUUCUUCAAAUAGAAAUUGUUAAUUUACCACAACACAGAAAAUGGUAAUUUUCUAAAGAUAUCUUGUAGAACCACUGAGCUGCGUCUUGUGGCCUUAGAGUCUAGGCUUUUAUUUCCUCUAAAUAUACUCUGCUCUGUUUUCCAUGUGUCUGUCAUGUUGAAUAAGUAACAGGCAGUGGGCACAGGACCAGGACUCAUGUCCUGUGUAUCAUGUAAAACAGAACAGGCAGCUCUUUCUCUUGUGAGAGAUACCAUCACGGCGUCCUAGUCACAAAGCUGGAAUGGAGAUGCUGGAACCCUAAGAUAGAGUUGCAGCUUCUAACUCAAAGUGUGCUAGGGGUUUUCUUCUUACUUAUAAUGUCUACUGUUCUAGUGCCUACUCAGUGUCCUCGGUAAAGCAGCCUCACCUUUCAAACUUCUUGUUGCCCUGCCUCAGGUUCCUUCUGAGCCAACCCCCAGCCUCCCUCCUCUGUUCAGUUCUUUGCUGUCUUCUCCCAGUGCAGCAUUCUCUUCCGUUCUGUUCCACCCCAUUGUGGGAUGCCCCACCCCAGGGUCCUCCUGCCUCACCUUGGCAUUACGGCUCUGCUCAGCCCUGGAGAUGUAGGCACGGACAGUGGGACACUCAGGUUUGCUGCUUUCCCUCUUGCUGAACAGGGCUGCAGCUUGUGAGCCAUCCCCAGGACAUGGCACUGAGUGCACCCUUAGCAAGUGCUGAUGACACCAAGCUGUGUGGUGCAAUCAGCACACUGGAGGGAAGGCAUGCCACCCAGAGGGAUCUGGACACCUUUGAGUGGUGGGCCAAUACAAACUUCAUGAAGUCCAGCAAAGAAAAGUUCAAGGUCCUGCACCUGGGUCAGGGCAAUCCCAGGCACUCCUGCACACUGGGCAGAGGAAUGACUGAGAGCAGCCCUGUGGGGAAGAACUAGGGGGUGAUGGCUGAUAAUUGCCAGCAUGAGCUGGCAUGAGCUUGCAGCCCAGAAAGCCAAUGGAAUCCUGAGCUGCAUCAACAAGAGCAUGGCCAGCAGGGCGAGGGAGGGGAUUCUGCCUGCCUCCCCCUCUACUCUGCUCUUGUCAGGCCCCACCUGGAGCACAGUGUACAGUUCUGUUGCCCCCAGUGUAAGAAGGACAUGGAACUGUUGGAGCAGGUCCAAAGGAGGCCACAAAGUUGCUAAGAGGACUGGAGCACCAUCCCCUAUAAAGAGGCUGAGAAAGUCAGGGCUGUUCAGCCUGGAGAAGUUUGUGUGGAGACCUCAUGGUAACCUUCCAGUGUCUACAGGGAAGCCAGAGAGGGAUCCUUGGUCAGGGACUGUAGUGAUAGGACAAGGAGUAAUGGCUUUGAACUGAAAGAAGUGAAAUUUAGUUUAGAUAUUAGGAAGAAAUUCUUUACUAUGAGAGUGGUGAAACACUGGAACAGGCUUCCCAGAGAAGUUGUGGAUGCCCCAUCCCUGGCAGUGUUCAAGGCCAGGUUGGAUGGGGCUCUGAGCAACAUGCUCAUGUCAGGGGUGUUGGAAAUAGAUGUCCUUCCCACCCAAACCAUUCUGUGAUUCUAUGACAUUCAGGUGCUCAUAGGCUCCAAUGGCUGAGCAGUCACAUGCCCUACCUAUGUGCUGUGUGUCUGUGUGCUCUGUAUGAGAGAACAGGAUCUUGUAAGACUGUGUUAGCUGACUCACAUAAUUUUCUGGCCUGAUAUCAUCUCAUCAGCAGUAGAUUUGAAUAAUUUACCAAAGUAAUGCUACUACUGCAAUUUAAGAAGGAUUAUUUGCAAAUGCUCUCUUAAAUUAUUGUGGAUCACACUUCUGAGAAGACAUUAGAAGGUUCAUUUAUGCUACACACCUUCCUUAAUCCAGGGCUUAAUUUAUCUAAAUUUUGUGGCAGCCUAUCUGUUCAAAGGCAUGAUUUGGCAGCUCUAAAGGUUGGUGUGCCAAACUAUUGAUGCCUUUUCCAAAUCUGACGUCAAAGACCUAUUGUUUAUGGGCUGAUCAGGGAUGCCAUGUGCCUGGGAUAGAUGAUGGUUAUUGAACCCCUCAACAGUGACACACGUGCUUGUGUCCCACGUGCUUGUGUCCCACCUCUAUCAUUCCUGCUGUUGACUGCUGGUUCUGUCAGAUAAGAGAAUACUCCUGCUCUUUAGCAAGAAAGAUGGAUUUUAUGCACGUCUAAAGAAGCCAACUCCUGUGAUGUCAUCUGCCAACAAUUAAUAUGGGUGGUAUGUAAUGGUUUAGAGGAAAUUCUGCAAGAUUUUUUUAAAAGAUUACAUUCUUUUCAGUUUGCAUUAUUAUAAUUACCUACUUUUUGAAGAAAUAUAGCUGAUUAUUUUCUUUCUACCCUGUACCUAAGAGUGGUAUUUCAGAGAGGAUUAACUGGAUCCCCUUCAAAAUGUAGCUGUUGAUCUCUCCCUGUUCAGGGUUAUUUUGCCUGAAGUGAAUGUCACUUUUCUGUUUUGACUCUUAAAUACUGUGAUAAAUGUUAGGGUCUACUAAGUUUCAACUUUCUAUUUUUAUCCGUCAGUAAACACUACACCAGAUGUGGGUGUGAAGGACCCUGAGAAGCUGAGGGAGUUCUGCUUUUAUUCAGCAGUUUUAACUUUCAUAACUGAGAAUUUCAGCUCAUUUUUUAGGGUUGUGUAUGUGCUGUUUUGGGUUUUUUAAGAGCUGAGAAAAACAGGCUUACGCAACUUAGUUUGCAUAAGUGCAGUGAGUCAUUCACAUUUUAUUUUUGCGUGCCUCUGUGUGUGUGUGUUUUAUUGCUUUAUAUAACCUGUCUUUGAAAAGUACUACUGUGAAUACUAAGAAUAUAUUUUUGCUGUAAAACAGAACAAAAAAAAAAAAGAAAUAUGCCUAUUAGGAAGAUAACUGCUUCUUGGUGAUAUCUCCCUGUAGAUACUGUUGUCCAGGAGGGCACUUUGGUGAUUCUUUUUAACACCGUGGUUCUCCAGUGGCGAAGUUUAUGCUGAUAUAUGAAAGUGUAAGGAGGUCAGGUAGCUCUGUCCUUUCCUUUUGUGGGCAGAGCUGAGUGUGACUCCACAUGAUAAUGUUGGUUAUAUAUAUGUGUGUGUAUAUAUAUACAUAAAUAUAUAUAUAUGCAUAUACUUAUAUAGAGGUUUCAAAUGUGUGUAGUCCUUUCAGCAUACUGUAGCUUCUGCUUUAUCACAUUUCUUCCCAUCAUCUAGGGAAGAGUGGAACUUUCACAGCAGUGUACCUCUGUGCACUGUUGAAAGAAAUUUGGGGCUUAAAUCCUUCACACAGCUAUCAGGCAUGGGUGGCAAGCAUCCUUCACCAGGCAUGCUUACAGAGUCCUCUGGAAGGCUUCAUCUUUUUUGACACUACUUCUCUGCUCCGUGUGAUCAAGGGUACUGUGAAUGUCUGGCUGCUUGGAGUUUAUUGUUUUGAAUGAGGUUACAGGUAAUUAGGUGUCAGUACCCUUUAACUGCUAGAAUUGCCAUUUUAUUUUAUGUUUAUAUGUUUCAGAUGUGUUUUCUUUGACACCUGAUGGAUGGUGCUGUAACUAUGACAGGGAACUCACUGUUAGUUUUCUCAGAAAGGGGGAGUGUGGUUCAUGGUGCAGAGAUGUGGGCACAGAUCUUCUUGCCCCACGGCUCUUCUGAGGCUUACUACAUCAUUCCUCCCCAGCUCCCUGCUGUGUCAUUAUGUUUUCUGAUCUGAUGUGUAGGAUGCUAGAAAUCUCUCCAAGCAUGGGAAGUUCACCACAACAGUUUCAUGCAGAUUACUUCCAUGCACACUCAGAAGUCCCUCCACUCUGCUCUGCUGCCCUGUGUUUUACCAAAUCAGAUUCGGGACUUCUUCCUUUCUAUAACCCAGUUUUUUAUUUCCUUUAACACACAUCACAGGCUUUAUUUAAUUUCAAUGGUAUCCUAAGUUUUGUGCAAGUAGCACUGUUCAUUGUUGGGGCAACAUUUUUUGAUGACUCCUGGUUGAGAAGAUGAGGAAGUGAAUUUGGACAUCAUGUGUGAUUUGUCUGGUAAUCACUAGAGAAACUGUGUUUUCUGUUUGAUGCAGAGAGGAUGUUUGCAGUUGCAAAAUAAAGCAGUAUUCAUCUACUACCCCGCUAGCAGAUUAACAGUCUGAAGUCCACAGAAGUGCCAUUAAACAGGGGUACUGCCAUGGGCAGGGACACCAUCCACUGGGACCAAAUUGCUCAGAGCCCCAUCUAACCUGGUCUUGAACAUUUCUAGGAGUGGGGAGCCCACAACUUCUCUGGGAAAGCUGUUCCAGUGCCUCACCACCCUAACAGUAAACAUUUUCUUCUAAUAUCCAAUCUAAACCUACCCUCCUUCAGCUUAAAGCUGUCCCCCUUUGUCCUAUUACUACAUGUCCUUGUGAAAAGUCCCUCUCCAACCCCUUUAGGUACUUGGAGGCUGCUGUAGGGUCUCUCUGGAGCCUUCACUUCUCCACGUUAGGUCAGGUGCCCCAGACCUCUGAACAACUUAGUGUCUCUCCUCUGGACCCAUUCAAUAGGGUCCUUUUUUUGGGGACCCCAGUACUCCAAGGUGGGGUCUCACAAGAGUAGAGAAGAGGGGGAGAAUCACCUCCCUCACCCUGCUGGCCAUGCUACUUUUCUUUCAGCUCAGGAUGUGGUUGGUUUUCUGCACUACAAGCACACGUAUUGAGCUUUUCAUCCACAAACACACCCAAGUCUUCCUCCCCAGCUAGUCUCAGUCCAUCAUCAUUAAGAAAUUGGGUUCACAUAAGGAAUUGUAGUACCUGUCUAGCUUCAAAAAUGUGAGCAGUUUUCAUUAAUACACUUACAUGUAUAAAGUCAGGUAUAAACUUAAAUUCCUUGUUGGAUUGAUGUUCAGAAGAGCAGCUCAACUGGUUUGGGCUCUAAUGCGAUUAAUGUGCCCAAGACAAAAAUACCAAGUAGGUGUGACAUAGGUAUAACUGUUUCCUAUAACAGCUGUUGAGAAUAAGGCACCUCCUUCACUCAGUAGACAACUGGCAUGACAUCUGGAGAUAAGAAUUAUAUCUGAACUUGUAGAACCCUGUACAAAUAAGAAAAAAUUCCUACUCACGUACACAAAAGCUAUAAUUUAGAGUAACCUUUAUAUUUAAUCCCCUUAAAGAGGUGUUUUGCUUUAGCACACAGUUGUGGGCAGUGUCUCCGUGGGCAUAGUAGUUAUUCUCACCACUGCUUGAUUGUUUCAAAUGACCCCUUGUAUGAGCAGGCAAAUACCUAAAUUGCCUAUGCCUUUGUGUUAAUCAUGACCUCAAACGUUAGAUGUGAGAGGUGGGAGGCUUUUGCAAUAAAAUUAUAGCUAUGCUUUUAACAUUCAUUCUUGUGCUUCAAAUACAAUGACUUAAGUUUGCUGAUCCUCAAGGCAGUCCUCGAAGCACUGUUUCUAAUCAGUCCUUUAUCCCUGAGGGUAUUAUCCUUGUGCCCUUUUUUAUAUGCCCAUGCUGCAUAAGUCUAUUACAGAGUCACAGAAUGGGUCAAGUUGGAAGGGAUCACAGUGGGGCAUCUGGUCCAACCUCCCUGCUCAGUCGUGGUCAUCCUGGAUCACAUGGCACAGGAUCUCAUGCAGGCGGUUCUUGAAUAUCUCCAGUGAGGGAGAAUCCACAUCCUCUCUGGACAGUCUCUUCCAGUGCUCAGUCACCCACACAGUGAAGAAGUUCUUCUUCAUGAUCAUGUGGAACUUCCUGUGCAUCAGUUUCUGCCCAUGGCCUCUUGUCCUAUUGCUCAGCACCACCAAGAAGAGCCUGGCUCCAUCCUCCUGACACCCUCCCUUCAAAUACUUCAGACACUGAUGAGAUCCCCUCUCAGUUGUCUCUUCUCAAGGCUGAACAGGCCCAGGUCUCUCAGCCUUUUCUUGUAAGAGAGGGGCUUCAAUCCUGUAAUCAUCUUCAUUGCCCUCCAGUGAACCAGCUCCAGGAGCUCCUUGUUCUCUCAUUGUGAGGAGCCCAGAACUGGGCACAGCUCUCCCCCCUCUCCCUGGGACUGGGUAAAGGGGCAGGAUCUCCCUUGACCUGCUGGCAGUGCCCUUCCUAAUGCACCCCAGGAUCCCACUGACCUUCUUGGCCACACGGGCACACUGCUGGCUCAUGGACAGCUUGUUUUCCACCAGGACCUCCAGGUCCUUCUCCGCAGAGCUGCUUCCCAGCAGGUCAGCUCACAGCCUGUGCUGGUGCCUGGGGUUGUUUCUCCCUGCACUUGCUUUGUUGAACUUCAGGUGUUUCUGCUCUGCUGCUCCCUCCAGCCUGUCCAGGUCCUUCUGCAGGGCUGCACAGCCCUCUGGGGUACUGGCCACUCCUCCCAGCUUUGUGUCAUCAGUGAACUUGCUCAGGAGGCAUCUGCCCCUUCAUCCAAGUCAUUGGUGAAUAAAUUAAACAAUACUGGGCCCAGUAUGGAACCUUGGGGGGCAACAGUAGUGACAGGCCUCCAACUACAAUCCUGUGUCACUUCUCCCUGUGCCAGUGAUUACAACCCUCUGAGACCUGCCGUUCUGCCAGUUCUCAAUUACACAUUGUCCACAGAAAUCAGUCAUAAGGCAGCCAUCUCAGUGUACCACAAACAGUAGAUGUCUCAGGAAUUUAAAAAGUCUUGCUAGAAGGUGAAUGUCCACUGGGGUGAAAGGAUGGUCCUGUAAUGGUACAUUUGUGUGCACUCUGGACACAGGGUUAAGAGUCUGGAGAAUCGGGGUGGCCUGAGCACAUGAGAUCAUGUGUUUUACUCAGGGAAAUAUACCCUCUGCUCUUAAAAGUCAUUGGAGAUUGAGUUGAAAUUAAACACACUCUUCCUGCUAAUGAUGUUUUGCAGAUUUUUUCACAUAAUUUGGUGGAGAAUCAAAGAUUUUAUUACUUACUUACAGAAAGAGAUACUUAACAGGCAGGACAUUAAAAGAAGGAACAAAAGGUUUACAAAGCUCAAAUAAAUCUUUCUCUGUUUUUCUGUGGUGUGCUCAUCUGACUGCUUGAACACAACACUCUAGAACUAAAUUUUUAGCCAACUGGGGUUUAGAAAUUUCACAGAAUUUCAGCACAAAGCAAGUCAACUUUCUAUAACCAUGAUAAAGGAGGAAUAAUUACACUUUAACUGACCCUUAUGAUAAGUUUCCAGCUGCCUGGAGUAGAAAUCUGGGUCACUACUUCACUGAGCAAUAAUGUAAGACAUCAGGACACUGCUGUAUUCCAGGUAUAGUAAAUUACCCUCUUCUUACCAAAAUCAAAGCAAUAAUCCCACUCGUGUCCAUGAGUUUGUUCUGAACUUUGUCAGUGAUACAUUUUCCAUGCAUAAACUAGAAGGCUUGUUAAACUUUUUUAAUAUUAUCUUUACUUACUGACUUACUUUUGUCUCCUGUUCAUUUUAGUGGAACUUUUUAAAGAUUACCUUUUAUGUGGCAGGAAAACUGACUUAAUCUAUUUUGGAUAUCACUGAGGUGAAAUUUAUAUGAAACACAGUAUGUCCUUUGUCUUGACAUUGAGGAAGUCACUGCUACUAUUACUAAAAGCAAAUGGCCAACAAGUUAGCUCAGUAGCAGUCUGGCAUGGGUAUCAGCUGAUAUCUCAAAUUUACUUAUAAAGCUGAUUCUGAAAAAUUCCAGAGAACCAUGGAGAAUUUCCCAACAGAAUUCAGGAGAAGGGCAUUGUUUUACAAAUUCUUUGUGUGGAUUUUUGGCAGUAAUGUAGCCUGGGAUGUAGAAGCCACCCCAGGCCAAACUCCUGCAAGGGUGUCAGGUUACAUUAACAACAUAUUGGGAAGCAGGUAUUCAAGAGUACUAGCCUUGAUCUGCGUCACAGGAAGAGGCUUGAAAUAAUGCUUGAGAAAAAUACUUUUUAGAGUUACGUGGGAGGGGAAAAAUAAGCUUCAGCAACCUAUUAUUGGAGGCUUUUUCUUCACCCGUUUUUUUAUUUGUGAGCCAAAUACUGCAGUAAUUAAGCUGCAAGAAGAAGGGAAUGUGCUUUGCUUUUAGUGGAAAUUAACAUUGGUUUUCUCCAGGCAUUCAAUCACUUAACUCAGUUGUCUUUUUAUAUUAUUCAAAUGUGACACACAUUAGUUAAACAUAAGUGGUUGAAGAAUCAUGUUGCAGAAUGCCUCUUGAGAGAGAAGCAUGUUAUAAACAUUUCUACUAAUGGAAUAUUUAUGUUAAUGUAAAUUAACUCCAUAAGGGUGGCAAAUCCUUUAAAAGGUGAACAUGAAGUUCCUGCUGCACAAUGAACGCUUUUAUUAUUUUGUUUCUUGUACAGCACAAAGGGUGGUGUACAGGCUUCUGCUGUAGCCAUGAAGGAAUUUGCAAAUGCAGUUUUUGUGACCCUCAAGAAUCAAGGCCUGUCACACAAUGAAAAUAUAAUGCAGACUUGUGUGAUGCUGAGGAAGAGGAAGGACACUUUGCAGAAGAAAUUGUCAGAACUGUGAUCUGAGAAAAAAUGCAGAAUGAACUGAGUCUGUAGGAGAGCAGAGCAAAAUGAAGAGUUAUAGGUAGAAGAUAGAUUUAAUGAGAUGGAUGGAGAUAGUGAUCAUUUUAAAGUGGGUGAUCAGUUGCCAACAAUAUUAGGGAUAAGGACUAAGAAUGAUAAGAAAGUACAGUCGUUGUCAUCUCUGUUUCCUGUUGCUUAGAGUUGUACAAUCCUUAACAUCCACUGGUCAGAUGAUGUGACCAAUAAAUUUGUUCUAGAACAGGCAGCAGUCACAAGCAUUGAGGCCAUGUUGCUGAGAACACAGCUGUGCUGGGCAGGGCACGUCUCCAGGAUGAAGGACCAACCACCCCCUCCCUAAGAUCUUGCUUUAUGGUGAACUUGCCACCGGCUGCUGCAAGAGAGGAGCCCCAAAGAGGAGAUACAAGGACUGCCUGAAACAACAUCUCAGCCUUGGCCAUAUUGAUCAUCAUAACUGGUCUACUCUGGCCUCCAACUGGGAGCUCUGGAGACACACCAUCUAUAACGCUGCUGAUGCCUUUGAGAACGCAGCAGGAUCACCCUUGAGGAGAAAAGACAACACAGAAAGAACCGUGUCUUGCAGAAUUUACCACCUAAGGAGUCUUUCUACUGUGCCUUUUGCAAUUGGACAUGUCUAUCUCGUAUUGGCCUCGUUAGCCACCAGCGUGUUUGUAACAAACGUGGAUAGAGCCUUCCCAAAUCUUCGUUCACGAAGCCUGGCCAUGAUGAUGAGAGUUAUGAGAUCAGACAGAUCUGUUGGAGUGAUGGAGGGGACUGGCAGCACACCUUGCUUGGAAAACAUUUCCAGUGGUAUGGCUGAAUUCAAGUGCUUUUCAAAGAGGGGUCUAAUACAGGCUUCCCCUUACAAACCAACUUCAGGAAUGGCAGAACUGAAGGAAUGGUUGCACCAUCCUUUGGGAGACAGCGCAGCAAUCAACAGAGCUGUUGUUACAGCCUCCAGCACGGUCCCUUUGCUCUUGUGCACGAGGGGAAGCAGAAGCCCUGGAGGUCAGGGAAGUGAGAAGUCCAGUGAAGUGCCUGGGCUUUGUAAGCACAAGGGGAUUUACCCAGCUGCCUGUUUUGAAGUCCCCUAUCAAACGUAAGUACAACCCGCUAAAUAAAACCUUUGAUUCUUCAGCGGUUUCGUUUGCUUGUUUGUUUUUGCGGUAUGCAAAUUUGUUAUCAAAAUUAUUUAUAUUGCACAAAGUGCUCUUUCAACUGUGUUUUAUUAAUUCAGGAACAGCAGCGAUAAGAUCUAGUUCUUUCCAAAGAAUUUGGUAUGCCACAUGUCCCAAAUGGAUCAGAUUACAAAGGCAGUUCAGUUCCCAGUUAGGCUCUUCAGUGAAGUGGUUAGAUUUUUUGACAGCACUCAGCAUCCAGUGGGUCUGGUGUUCAUUUUCAGGAAUGGGAGCGGGUGAGCACUUCUGCAAGUGUAAUCUUUUGUACUUAAAUAUUUGUGUGUUUUCUCCCAAUCCCGUUUUACAUGAAGUUAUGUGACAUUUUUUUUGUUGUUAUUUUCAGAGUUUGUUUCCUUGUUUAAUAAAGAAAACUAAAUAGUUCUGCAAGAGUCCCACUGCAUUUCUGUGUACUGGGAUUGUCAUAUUUUUGUGAUUAUUUGUUUUUAUUUUUAUGAUUUUCAUUAUAUUUAAACCCCAAGUGUUCAUAAAUAAGUGCACAAAAGAAACCACAAAUACCAUGAUGAGUUACACAGUAGUGAUAACUCCAAGUACAAAUACUAAAUUUAAAAUGUAAGUUGUUAUUUGUACAGUCAAUUAACAUGAAUGACUGAUGAAUCACAGUAAAUCCACAAACACAUGCUGAACUUGGAUUUUUGCACAUGUAAAUCCAUUUGCCUUAACGCCUUGUUCCUUGGAUAAAUAUGACAGUUUUAUGUGACUUUUCAAGAACUACAGAUUACUUUCUUCCACUGGAAAUCAGUGUGGUGGCCUAACUACAUUAAAUAUUCCUCUCAUCCAGAUUUGUCUUUAAUUAUGAUUUUACCUCUUGAAAGAUCUCCCAUUUUCAGGUUUUGUGGAAGUUGUUAAGUUCCAAUCCCUGAUGGAUACCUGUGAAUACUUAAUAAAAUAUACAUCACAUAGCCAGACUGGCAUGCUCAUUGUGCCAGGUGAGUCAAAGACACCUCUAAAUCAUUGACACCAGUGUCACAUAACUUACCAAACUGUCUCUCUGAUCGUCUUUCCCCACAGCUCUGUCUUCACCCUGACAGUUCUGCUUCCAGUCCUCGUGGUGCACAGCACGCCUCUGGCAUUGAUGGUUUGCAUGUCUCCCAGCUUCUCCCUACACAUUGAUGCCAUUUGUGAGCUUCUCAUUCCAGAAUUCCCAAAGCCCUGCUUUCUAUACUGUGCCAAAAAGGCACUAAUUUCUGUAAUCCUCUCUGGGAUUUUAGGAAUGUUGAGACGUGCUGGUUAUAAAACCCUAAGUACAAAAUGGUCACGGAUGGCUGGAAUGAGGCAUGUUCUAAUGGAAACAAAUCACUUGUCAGUAAGCAGCCUUCAAACUUUUGAACAAAAGCUCAGAAGGGUCAGGGAAAAGACAAGUUUGUUGAUCUAAAAUGGCUGGAUGCAGGUCAUCAGAAAGGCAUAGGCUUCAAUAUUGUUGAGGCAACUCUUCAGUUCUAUGUAAAAUUAGAGUUUUAAAUGAGGUUAAAUGCUUUGAUGGCAACCACAAGUGGAAUGAGCAACUUGCAUUAAACAAAAAGCUCACACAUUAUAAAGGGUGCAUAACACCGAAAUGUAAAGCAUGUACACCACAAAACAGCUGCAGAAUGGAGCUCAGUUGUGGGAACUGCAUUUAGGUGUAUAGACAUGAAUGUGUGUGAGGAAGACCAUGCUAUAUCUGCUGAAAUUUAGGAGGGUGACCAGUAUUCCUGUAGGUGUCUGUGAUCCGUUAGUGUUUUUGUUAGUUAAAAUAGUGUAGCUUAGCUUUAUAGUGAUUUGUUGUUAAGUCUGUUCACUCAGCUUUCUGUAGGUUUUAACUCUAGAUGAAAUUCUGCAAUGCAAUCGUUAAAUUUUUUAAUAUUUGCUUGCAAGACACAUGAUGAGGUUCACGACCCCUGGACCAGCUGUAACGAGGGAUGAGCCCUUCUUUUUCCUGUGUAAUAUUUUGUGUUACUGUGUAAAAUGAAUAAUGUUGGUCUAUAAUAAGUUGUAUAAGGUGGAUGAAUUAUAGUCUUUGUGGAACAUCUCGUUGAAUCUCCUAAUUCUACUGUAGCUUGGUUUCAUUAGCAAACAAGCCUUAUGCAAUCUUUCUUUAUGAUCAGUCUGUCUGUCUGCUAGUCGCCCUCACAAGCCGCUUCUGAACUUGUUCAGUCUUCAACUGGAUUUGAAGAGUGUUUGCAGGUAACUUAUGUUUUGACUGGAUUUGUUGAAACUUCUCUAAAAAAAGGAGAGGCAGAGGCAGUGCCUCUGCAGAGGGUAAGGCAGGUGAAGCAGUUGUCAGAUAAGCAGUCAACGUGGGGGUCCUUGGUACGGUACACACUGCUUUGUGCAUACAGGGACACAGUGGGGACUGAUGAGAGAGGUUUGGACAGAGGUGACUGGGGAAAGAAAUCUGAAGGGACAAAGAUUUGACCUCCAUUGGUAACUAGGUUUCGUUUCAGUGUUCGUGGAAUAAUUUCAUUUUCAUAUGGAAAACAGCAGCAGGAGAAGAGGCAGUGACUCUCUGUGGCGAAACGAUAUCCGUGAGCUUCAAAGCACAGGGCAGCCCUUUGGUGUUUCUGAGGUUUACUCUGCUAAAUAAACAUUGUUCUGCUUUCAAAGGAAAGAAACUGAGACACUUUCUUCACAGAGUUUUGACUUGCUCAAAGGCACCAAAUGACUCAGCAGCAACCAGGUGCAGCAUACAGACAUGCUAAGGUAGCUUAGAAUCACAUGAUCAUUGAGGCUGGAAAAGACUUUUAGUGUCGUUGAGUCCAACCAUAACCCUAACAGUCCUGAGCCCACCAGUACACCAUGCCCCUAACCACCACAUGUACAUGUCUUUUCAAUACCUCCAGGGGUGGGGUUGACUUAACCACCUCCUGGGCAGCCAGUUCCAAUGCUUCAUAACCCUACUGCUGAAGAUAUUUUCCCCAAUAUCCAAUCCCUCCCCAUACUGAGGUGCAACUUGAGACCAUUUCGUCUCAUCCUGUUGCUUAAAACCUGAGCGAAGAAGAGACCGACCCCUGCCUGGCUACAACCUCCUUUCAGAUUGUUUUAGAGAGUGAGAAGAUCUCCCUCGAGUCUCAUUUUCUCCACGGCAAACAACCUCAGCUCUCUCAAGUCAUUUCUCAUAAGAUUUCUGCUCCAAAUCCAUCACCAGCUCAGUUAUCUUUCCCUGAACACACUCCAGAACCUCAGUGUUAUUCUUGUAGUGAGUGGUCCAAAACUGAACACAGGAUUUGUGAUGAAGCCUCACCAGUGCUGAGUAGAGGGAGAAAGCCACUGCCCCUCAUCCUGGCCAGUGUGUCCAGCAGCUUACACAGAUCUUCACUCACCACACAUCCCAAAUAUUCUCCUUCCUCAAGACCUUGGAGCUUAUCAGUGCUCCCUGUUCCUGACUUUUCGGUUGCUCUUAGGGUCGUUUAAAUCUGCAUCUGCUAGUAUUGCAAGAGGACAGUGCUGCCUGCUCAAGCCCAGCAAUCACUUACCAUCCAGAAAGGCCAUGACAAGGAAAACAUCUUCCAAAUGCCUCUGGUUGUUUUUUGUUUUUCUGCCAGAAAUGAGGGCAUGCUGCUGAAGAAGGGUUGCAAAGCAGCCUGCAGAGAGCUCCAGGCAGUACAGACAAAAGCACUCCUGGUACCUGGAGUAGCUUUGUUUGGAGUUAACUUGGGGUUGUCUGCAGUAUCCUGCCCUGCUCACCUGCCUUAGGUAUGGCAGCUGAUAGUUGUUGCUGUUUUGUGCUGCUCUUCUUGUCCGUCACGUGAAGUACACUGAGACCAUGGGGAGGAGUAAUCAUGGGAGACACUCCAUGUCUCCUCUUCAGAUGCUACACUGCCUGGAUAAAAGCUUAUCAGCAGCUUGGGU
This is a long non-coding RNA of Pseudopipra pipra, 18826 nucleotides long. RefSeq lists it as uncharacterized. Lineage: Eukaryota; Metazoa; Chordata; Aves; Passeriformes; Pipridae. The record is from RefSeq and is a predicted model, not a curated record. The transcript is spliced from 3 exons.